RNAcentral lists this RNase P RNA (452 nucleotides) under Crenobacter oryzisoli. Its description in RNAcentral is "RNase P RNA component class A". It matches the Rfam family "Bacterial RNase P class A". Rfam says of the family: Ribonuclease P (RNase P) is a ubiquitous endoribonuclease, found in archaea, bacteria and eukarya as well as chloroplasts and mitochondria. Its best characterised activity is the generation of mature 5'-ends of tRNAs by cleaving the 5'-leader elements of precursor-tRNAs. Lineage: Bacteria; Pseudomonadati; Pseudomonadota; Betaproteobacteria; Neisseriales; Neisseriaceae. The record is from RNAcentral.
GAAGUCAGACAGGCAGUCGCCGCGCCCUUCGGGGCGGGGAGGAAAGUCCGGGCUCCGUAGAGCAGGAUGCCGGCUAACGGCCGGGCGCCGUGAGGCGACGGAAAGUGGAACAGAGAGCUGAACCGCCGAUGGCUGGACUUGUCGCCCGCAAGGGCGACAAAGUCUUCAUCCAGACAGGGAAACCUGGCUGGACGGCACAGGCAAGGGUGAAAAGGUGCCCGGACAAGGCGUAAGCCGCGACCGGGGAGCGGGGAAACCCGCUGCGGUAAGAGCGCACCGCGGACGUGGUAACACGGACGGCAGGCUAAACCCCAUCCGGAGCAAGACCAAAUAGGGGGGCGCUAACGUGGCUCGCGUUGUCCCCGGGUAGGUUGCUUGAGCCUGUCGGUAACGGCAGGCCUAGAGGAAUGACUGUCCAACGACAGAACCCGGCUUAUCGGCUGACUUCCCCC